CUAUUUGACAGUGAGAGAGAGAGAGAGAGAGAGAGAGAGAGAGAAGGAGAGGGACUGACUGAGGAGGGGGGCAAGGACAAGUGUGUGUGUGUGUGUGUGUGUGUGUGUGUGCAUGUGUGUGUGUGUGUGUGUGUGUGUGUGUGUGUGUGUGUACUGAUGCAGUGAGAGCUGUGAGGAUAAAGCAGAGAGCAGUGAAGGGAUGCAGAGGAGAAUGGAGGGAGCCAAAUAAUCCCUCUGCCUGUGUACUCUUUCACUCUUUCUUUCCUUUCAUUUCUUUCUCUGUCCUGUUAGCAGGCGGACAGUCCUGAAGAUGACUCACUGUGGAAUUUUUUCCAACUCAAAUUCUUUUCAAUCUCUCUCUCUCUCUCUCUCUCUCUCUCUCUCUCUCUCUCUCUCUCUCUCUCUCUCUUUCAUUUAAAAAAAUAAGCCAGUAAUGCUACAGGGUGUCCUAGAGGGCCCGAAGAAUUUCUGUAGAGAGGCAUUUGAGAGAGAGUGAAAAAAAAGAAGAAGAAUGGGACAGGGAAAAGAGGCUGAAAGAAGAGAAGCACACAGGAGGAAAGGAAUGUGGUUCUGAGGACGGAAGAGCACCUGCUGCCCUUCACAACCUAUUUCCUGCGCUAAAGAAAUGAUCCAGAGGAAAAAGGCCACGGAGGAAAAGAAAAAGACUGCACAGAGAAUCUCUUUUCCAACCCUGACAUGAGGAAAGUUUAAACUCCUUUUUUACAUUCCACUCACCAAGCCAUGCUGCAUGCUUUGAGAAUAUGUGGAAAUGCAGGUACGUGUGCUUUUUAAUCUUGCUUCCUAUAUUUGGCUGCAGCCUACCAUCUACCUUUGUAAUGAAGGAUAAUUAUAUAAAAAUAUACAUACUGUAACUAAACUUCCUAGAAUAUAACAGCUGUUAAUGUCAGACAAGCAGUAAAGCUCAACAGUGUACAUGCAGUUGUAUUGGCUUUCUAUCAUAUGUAUGGACCAAAUGUGCUAAAUGGACAGUAUAAAUAAUAAUAAUAAUAAUAAUAAUAAUAAUAAUAAUAAUAAUAAUAAUAA
This is a long non-coding RNA of Ictalurus punctatus (channel catfish), 1044 nucleotides long. The record is from Ensembl. NCBI's taxonomy places the organism in Eukaryota, Metazoa, Chordata, Actinopteri, Siluriformes, Ictaluridae.